GUGUCAGCCGCCGCGGUAAUACAGAGGGUGCAAGCGUUAAUCGGAAUUACUGGGCGUAAAGCGCGCGUAGGUGGUUUGUUAAGUUGAACGUGAAAUCCCCGGGCUCAACCUGGGAACUGCAUCCAAAACUGGCAAGCUAGAGUAUGGUAGAGGGUGGUGGAAUUUCCUGUGUAGCGGUGAAAUGCGUAGAUAUAGGAAGGAACACCAGUGGCGAAGGCGACCACCUGGACUGAUACUGACACUGAGGUGCGAAAGCGCGGGGAGCAGACAGGGUUAGAUUCCCCGGUGGUCC
This 292-nucleotide ribosomal RNA is filed under the name uncultured prokaryote. RNAcentral describes it as "partial 16S ribosomal RNA". It matches the Rfam family "Bacterial small subunit ribosomal RNA", at positions 505 to 796 of the family's 1533-position model. The record is from RNAcentral.